GGGAGGGGUACAACAGCAGGAAACAGCUGCUAAUACUAAUACCCCGUAGCUGAGGAGCAAAAGGAGGAAUCCGAGAGAGGAGGGGCGAAGACAUGAAACCAAGUUGGAGAGGUUAAGGCAAUAAAAUUGGGAAACCGAGGUGUAGAGGUGAGAGGGAGAAGACGCUCGACGAGAAAAGGGAGGAGAGGGGCGAAGCGGCUGAUUAGCUAGUUGGUGAGGCAAUAGCUUAGCGAUGAUCAAUAGCUGGUCUGAGAGGAUGAUCAGCCACACUAGGACUGAGACAGGGCCCAGACUCCUACGGGAGGCAGCAGUGGGGAAUUUCCGCAAUGGCCGAAAGCCUGACGGAGCAAUGCCGCGUGGAGGUAUAAAUAAGGUCUACUGGUCGUGAACUUCUUUUCCCAAGAAGCAAUGACGGUAUUUGGGGAAUAAGCAUCGGCUAACUCUGUGCCAGCACGGUAAUACUGCAAAGGAUGCAAGCGUUACGUUAUCCGGAAUGAUUGGGCGUAAAGCGUCUGUAGGUGGCUUUUGAAGUCCGCCGUCAAAUCCCAGCAACCCUGGACAGGCGGUGGAAAUUACCAAGCUGGAGUACGAUAGGGGCAGAGGGAAUUUCCGGUUGAGCGGUGAAAUGCGUAGAGAUUGGAAAGAACACCAACGGCGAAAGCAGCUGGGACGACACUGAGACUGAGAGAUGAAAGCUACGGGGAGAGGAUUAGAUACCUCAGUAGUCCUACUAGCCGUAAACGAUGGAUACUAGGCACUGACCCGUGUAGUGCUGUAGCUAACGAAGUAUCCCGCCUGAGCAGUACGUUCGCAAGAAUGAAACUCAAAGGAAUUGACGGGGCCGUGGAGCAUUUUAAUUCGAUGCAAAGCGAAGAACCUUACCAGGGCUUGACAUGCCGCGAAUACUCGUGAAAGAGAGGGCUGUCUUCGGGAAUGCGGACAUAGGUGGUGCAUGGCUGUCGUCAGCUCGUGCCGUAAGGUGUUGGGUUGGGUUAAGUCCCGCAACGAGCGCAACCCUCGUGUUUAGUUGCCAACUGUUGAGGUUGGAACCCUGAGUAGACUGCCGGUGAUAAGCCGGAGGAAGGUGAGGAGUCAAGUCAUCAUGCCCUUGAUGCCCUGGGUGACACACGUGCUACAAUGGCCGGGACAAAGGGUCGUGAUCCCACUGAGCUAACUCCAAAAACUCGUUCUCAGUUCGGAUUCUAGGCUGCAACUCGCUCGCAUCAAGCCGAAAUCGCUAGUAAUCCCCGGUCAGCCAUACGUUCAUUCGUUCCCGGGCCUUGUACACAUCGCCCGUCACACUAUGGGAGCUGGCCAUGCCCGAAGUCAUUACCUUAACCGCAAUGAGGGGGAUGCCGAAGGCAGGGCUAGUGACUGGAGUUCAGUCGUAACAAGGUAGACGUACUGGAAGGUGCGGUUG
Molecule: ribosomal RNA, 1420 nt
Filed under: Cucurbita moschata (crookneck pumpkin)
Lineage: Eukaryota; Viridiplantae; Streptophyta; Magnoliopsida; Cucurbitales; Cucurbitaceae
Description: bacterial SSU rRNA
Rfam family: Bacterial small subunit ribosomal RNA
Source: RNAcentral